UCACAAGAAGGAAAAAGGACAGAAGUUGUAUCAUGUCAAUUAACAACAUCAUCAUCCUCAUAACAUCACAUAUACCAUAUAUUUUAAGUUCAAAAAUACAUGAAUAAAAUAAGUUGUAGCAAAAACAUGCACCACAUUCACCAUAUCAUCACUCACAACGCAUGUGUCAUCAUCAUAUACAUUCAUCACAUCCAAUUCAUCAACAUACAUCAUA
Molecule: long non-coding RNA, 214 nt
Filed under: Lathyrus oleraceus (garden pea)
Lineage: Eukaryota; Viridiplantae; Streptophyta; Magnoliopsida; Fabales; Fabaceae
Description: Pisum sativum (pea) long non-coding RNA (PSAT_LNC003591)
Source: RNAcentral